Molecule: long non-coding RNA, 460 nt
Organism: Mytilus trossulus (common blue mussel)
Lineage: Eukaryota; Metazoa; Mollusca; Bivalvia; Mytilida; Mytilidae
Exons: 3
Source: RefSeq, a predicted model, not a curated record
CAAUUGUCCAGAAUUAGUGUUAAUUGAUAUCAAUAAUCAAAGUUGGAAAAAAAGAUACGUUAACUGUCUGGUCAAGACGUGUAUGAAUUGAAGGACAAAUGCCUUCAGAUUUGAUAAAAAAAAACCAGAGUUACUAAUACACUAUGAAUGAAACAGAUAUCACACUACAGGAUGAUGAAGUUGGUACUACUGUUACAGUUUUAUUCACGUCAUUAGCAGCAGCGUCGGUUUUAAUCGACAUCGCUUACAUCAUUGUUUGCUUUAAGGCUCUUAAGAAAACUUUCCAUCAUCUUACUAUUUUGGUGUUGUUUUUCAGCGAUAUUACUUUAGGGAUUUCAUCAACAAUGUUUUCGUUAGGAACUGUAUUAAAACAUGAACAUGUAGACUCGUGUCUCCUACAGAUAUUUAUUGUUACAUUCGGUCUGCAAUCAAACUAUUGUUUGAUAUUCAUUCUGUAUUU